AAAAACUAUAGAUCAAACCAUUAAGAUAGAUGUAUUUAGUUGGUUUAUUAAUAAACAUGACCCAUUAUAGGAUUUUAUGACAUCAUUUGAUUCAUGUAGUGAAAAAUAUUGUCUGCUGCUCUAGUUGCUCGGUUCAACAAUUAAUGUAUUCGCUUCUGUUAGCUUGAUUGUACUGCUUAAUAAUGAUCAGGUCUUCACACAUCUACUAGAAAAACUAUGCUAAAAUUUUGAUUCUUGAGUGGCAUGCUGAAAUGGCACUAUGCAUUCUCUUAAUUAUGGCACUAUGCUGAAACGGGGUUAUACAUUCUCUUAAUCACCAAGUCUAGCCAACUAAUUCCACGGUUCUGUUUAAGUAAGAAAGGGAAAACUCAUUUCACAAUCUGCAAGUCUUUUGAAUUGCUGGUAUCUAAGAACUACCAAGUGUGUGUGAUGGAUAUAUAGAUAGACUCAUGAUAUAUAAUUAUUCUUUCUCCCUUAAUGAAUUGAGUUAAGUUUGAGUUUUGAGUAAUGAGCUUUGUGAGGCCGUCUGCAACGUACAACUUUGUAUUUACAUAUCCUUAGUCACGAUGGAUGCCAUGUCAGAGUUGGGGGUUCCUUCGAUGGCCAGGUCUUCACGAAUUCUCAAGACUUCUUGUGGUUUUCCUUCUUUGGUCUACCUUCUCCCAAUUCUGUUACAUACCUUCUUUUAUGUACCCUACCCUUCGUGUUGGCUAUUGAAUUAUCGCCAAAAAGUUACAUGGUUUACACAUAACAUUCUGCUUUCCAUUUUUAUUAUAGCUACCUUUAUGCAUGAUCUUACAUUUAAAGAAUAUUCCAUAAUCAUAAAUUACAGGUCAAUGACAUGCAAUUUUAUAGUUUCCAAUUUCCCUUCUUGGCAUAAUGAUAUUGAUAGGUUGUGUCUAGACUUUUUAUAUUCAAAUAUAUUUUCACUUUUCUGCCUAGUUUACCAAUUCCAAACAUAAUGGAUUUUAAAAAUUUCAUUAUAGGGUCUUAUGACAUCAUUUGAUUCAUGUAGUUGGUUGCACGUAAUAAAAAACAUUGACUGUUGUUCUGUGUCGCUGCUGCUGCAUACUCCUGAAGAAGUUUUGAAAAUUUGAAUGAUGGGUUAAACAAUUAAUGUAUUUGCUUCUGUUAGCUUGAUUGUACUGCCUAAAAUAAGAAAAUAGUGAUCAGGUCUUCGUACAUUUUCCUAGGAAAACCAGGUAAAAAGUUUUCUUUCUUGAAUGAUAUGCAGAAUUGGCAUUUUGCAUUGUCUUAAUUAUGACAUUGUGUAUAACCCUUGACCAAUUUUUUGAAUGGACUUAAGUUCAUUGCAGGAUAAUCAUGCUAAAUAUAUCUUUCAUUUAUUGUUUAACUAAUAAUCCUAAUUAGAUGUAUGAUAGUUUAGUUUUUCCUUUAAUUAUUUUUACCGGGAAUCAGGUUUUCUGUAUAUGUUGAUAUAUAAUAUCAGCAAUCAUUAUACGGGGUUAUAUUAUAUACCCCAAAAAUAUACUACGCCUUAUAACUAACUAGCUUUAUGAAUUAUGAGAAUGAGCUACUUGGUUUACUUUAGUUAUGAUAACAUUUGUACUUUCUGUUACAUUGGUUAGUCCAACUUGUCUGAGUUACAAGAUUGAGAGUAUUACGGUAACUAAUGAAAAAUAUGUUUAGCUAUCCAAUUCAUUGCAAUUAUCUGCUCAAGAAUGUGAUCCCAUAAAAAUUAACUAAAAUUCUACAGGAUAUUGUGUUAUAAUAAAUUAGUUGUACUUAUACCUAUGGCAUUGAAGUGUCAAUUCUUAAGAAAAAUGUUGAGACGUUGCAUUGACGGGUGAUAUGGCCGAAGUAGUCCUUACCCCUUUCAAAGGUUGAACAAUUUGAGUCAACUUUUGGGAUUGAGUUAGACCUAGCUCAAGUUCUAAGAGAUAGAAACCAGGACUAUUGGGACAAAAGCUUAAAAAUGUUGUAGAUUGAUGACAUAAAAAAACGAUUUCUUUGAAUGUUACUUACAUAUUUCUGUAAAGAAACAGAUGAUUUUUAUCAAAAAAUAGAAAGAAAGAAAAUAGGAGAUGGGGAGUAUUAUUAUUUAUUUAUGGGGAGGCAUAGGCCAUGCAUUCGCUAGUGAGGAUUUGAAUUUUGUUCCUUUAGGUUACAAAAUAAGACAGUCACCAGUGCGCUAACAUCCACAGGUUUAAAAAGAGGUCCAAAUGGAAUAUUGUAACUUGCUUUGUCAGGGAUUUGCAUAAUUAACAGAAAUUGUUUGGUUAAGGCUUAUUGUUGUUGUUCUUGCUCAUUUAUCUAAGUAGCUAUGGUGAAACAACUUUUUGCAAUGAAACAAUUUUGAAACCUGAUGUGACACAAUCAUAUAUUUGUUACAUUAUUUUACAUGCUUAUUCAAUUUACCAUAUAUCCAAUUGCAUUCUGGUAAGAAACACUUUCAGAAAUAAGGUUAAUGGAUAUUUUCGGGCCUUGUAUGUAUUUUUUUCUACUUGUUUCAUCUCUUUUUAUGCUUUACUUGUUUACAUCCUCAGGCU
Molecule: long non-coding RNA, 2510 nt
Filed under: Medicago truncatula (barrel medic)
Lineage: Eukaryota; Viridiplantae; Streptophyta; Magnoliopsida; Fabales; Fabaceae
Description: long non-coding RNA (MTRU_LNC001023)
Source: RNAcentral